Molecule: long non-coding RNA, 4573 nt
Organism: Canis lupus familiaris (dog)
Lineage: Eukaryota; Metazoa; Chordata; Mammalia; Carnivora; Canidae
Exons: 3
Source: RefSeq, a predicted model, not a curated record
CUUCUGAGUCAUCUCAUUAACAUAACAAAAGACACCUUUCCUGCUCUCCUCACUUAGGAAAUUCCAAAGAUUUUAGAAAAAGCUCCGUGCCAGAAAUGAGGAUGAAGACCAAGACAGGAGAUAAUAUCCAAAUGCAUAAAACAUUUACCACCAAGACUGAACCCUAAUGUAAACUAUGGACUUUGGUUGACAAUGAUGUGUCAGUGUGGAAGAUGCCAUGAGCUGGAGAAGAAAGAGAGUAAAAGAAGAAGGAAUAGUGAGUGUAGAUGCCAACAGGUCCCCAAGGAAGUGCCCUGUGCCUACAGCCAAAUGGUCGGGGAAGGGCUGUGCUCGGCUCAUGAGGAAAAUUCCAGGCUUCCCCAUUUCCUCUGCCAAACCAUGUGCAGAUGUGGUAGUAGCCUUCCUGUUGUAGCUACGAGUUGUGUUUAGACAAGCAAGUCCAAGAUGCCUCUUUGCAGUUCCUGCAGAUCACAGAAUGCCAUGAGUGGAGGAUAGCGAGGUGAUUUCCUGAGAGCUCAAGUGUGGCAUGAAGACAUACAGGACCCUAAACAGCUACCCCAGUUCUCCAGUGUGUCAUGAAAGCCCGACAAAGAGCCAAACUAGGAGAGUCUUUGAAGUCAAAUGAGAAGUUCUCAGAAGCAGCCCCCAAGAACCAGCACUCCAAACCCAGAGAAAACAAAAAACAUCACAAUAGAUGCCAGAGAGACUGCAUAAUGAUGACCCAGAGGUGCCCAUUUUACUACCUCCAGCCACCUCCCUGCUUUGAAACAAAAGGAACUGAAUUGCCUAAGAUUAUGAUCCUGCUAUUUAGCAGGGUGAGAGCUCAAAGUACAAAACAAAUUUUCCUUUUUAAAAACAAACAAAGAAACAAAUUUUCUAAGUUCACUUACAGGAAUAUAAAGUUCUAUUAUCCCUACAUCUAAGUUUGUGCUAAACAAGAUUUCAUUAAUCUUCUUUUUUAAGCCAACAUCCUCUGAUCCACCCCGGCUAUGCCUUAUGCCAUCAAAGACAAAUUACAAUGGAAAGGGCUCUAAAAAAUGCUCCGAGAGAAGGAGACUCAGGGAAGGAUAAGAGGGGUCUCAGAGGGCCACUUCACCCUCACCAUUUAUUUGUUCAGAUCUGAGAACUGGGAACAGGUGUUUAACUUUUUCAAAGUACUAGCUGUGAAAUAAGAUACAACAAAGAUCAUGUAUGAUAUGAUUUGUUUCCAAGUCAAAGAUGGUUGGUUAAUCCCAAGGAUGGAUAUGUAUCAAGGGCUAUAUGUGAAUACCUCAUGUCAACAACUGUUACCAUAGCUCCUCUACAGAUAGAGGCAUUGACAGUCAGGGACCAGAGUAGCUUGCUUGAGAGCCGCACACCUGGCAUUUAAUGGCCAUUUGGCAGGAACCCAAGCAUGGUGGCUUCGGGACCUAGGUUCUUGGCCACCCUGCUCUAGGGUCUCUAUUGCCUCAACACAGCAGACAUGUCCAGUCCAUGGCCCACCACUUGUGCGCUCCCUCCAGGCCUCCACUCUGGAGAGGUGGAGCAGUGGAGACUUGCUCGCACUCAGCGAUUUUACAAAGAACCCUGCCUUCAGAAAACUGAUGUGGGCAAGCUCCAGAUGAGGCCUGAGUUUGCUUUAACAAAAAGUGUUUGUUUUGUGAAGACAAGUGUCAGUGGCUGUCACAGAGAGCAGAAGGGGGCUAACUAAACUGCAAGAGGCCAGCCAGGGUCACUCCUGACCUCGAGGCUCUGCUUAGCAUAGGGAGGGGAAAAGCAAAAUACACUUGGUUAUCAAUGAGCUAUUUCAAUCCCUCUCUAAAUAAGCCACGCGUGAGAAAGCAGGUCAAAGUUCAUUUGUUUUAGAUCAGGUGUGAGAAGGAAGUGUACAAUGCACCUCACUGAGGUUGGGGGUGUUUCUUUGUUCUAUAAUUUGACAUUCAGAAUUGGUAUGAAUAACAUAAGUGGAUAAAGUGCAUUAAUGGCCUCAAUUCUCACUGCUUAUAAAUGAGUUAGGCUUAUAUACAUAAAGCCUGAUGGUUUGAUCUACCCUGGGAGCGUCCAAGUUACUCAGCCCAAGGCCCAAGUAGAAAUUUGGGACUGUUUGUCCUGCUGCCACCAAGAAGAACAUUCCCUCUCAGCUGCUGUGGAACACAGAGGAAGGGACCUGACGAGCUUCUGGGUUAUUGUUGGACAUAAAGUGACCUGGCUCUGGGUCAAAACAAAUUUGGCCCUUUAAAGUCUCUGAGGGUUGGGACGAGUCCUGAAAAAUAGUGACAAGACCAUAAUAGGUCCUUUAUGAACAGUUCUGUUCUCAGACGACAUUGAGUCUGGUGUUCACAGGCGCUGACCUCAGAUGUGUCACCUCAGGAGCAGCCUGGGGCUGCAGAGAGGCUGUGCUAUAAAUGGAUGCUGUGCAGCUGUGAGGGGAGCUAUUUUGGGAUCCCAGGGGGUCUCAUUUGUACUUCAGGUUAGGAGGCUUCCAAGUGAAGGAGGAGCCUUCUGUGUGUGUUGGGAGGGGGACCAGGCAAACCAGACCAGGCAUAGCCCUUCUUCCUCCCUGACCCCUCUGCUGCAGGCCCCAUCCCUUUUAUCUCUUUCUUUAAAGAUGUCACUGGCACAGGGCACUGGAGUUUUGUGGAGGAGAAACACAAAAGAGAGAAGAAGGAGCAAGUCAUCUCCUAGCCCAGAGUGAUUGGGAAAAUUGCUUCCUCAGCUGUGUUCUAGAUAAGACCGUCUGACCUUUGCAGGGCUGGUGGAGGUGCCAAGGCCUCAGGCUCUCAAUGCCUUUUGCAUCCACGUCAGUGGCUGUCAAACAGGAAGUAACCUGGGAGCAGAGGUGAGAAAACAGGGUGUUAGACUCCUCUUCACAGCUCAGCUCUGGCCCACUCUGAGGGGCCAAGGGGUUGCUUCCUUGUCUCUCGUGGCCCAAGUGCCAUGGUUUAAGUUGGUGUGGCCUUAGAGCCCUCUGAGCGGUACAGCUUCUUUCCCUCCCCUUCUACCUGGCUUGAAAUCACCUCACUGGUCAUGUGAGGUUAGAAGAAAUGGCAGGUUAAUGGUCUCCUCUCCUAUCAGCCCAUGUUUAAUGGACCACAUUAAUGGCAGCCAUCUUGAAGAUAGACCCAGUGUCUAAUGGAGCAGCUCGCAUUGCUUGCGCAUGUGCACUUUAGAGCACACAGACCUGGGUUGGAAUGCCACAUUGCUUCAUCUUAGUUAUGUGGCCUUUGGCAAGUCUUUUCAUCUUCCUCAGGCUCAGGCUUCACUUCCAAAUGGGAACCAUUCGCAUAUCUGCCUCGUGGGGUUGUUGUGAGAAUUAAAUGUGGCAAAAUACUUAGUACCACACGUGCCACAUGGUAAGUGCCAUGUAAUAUAUUACAUUUCUGUAAUGGAUGUAUUAUCAGCUCUAACUAACAGCUGGGGAGACAAAAUUGACGAGGAGGACUCUUGAGGUUUAAAGCUGCAUGAGGACCCUAGUUCUGACUUAUCUUGUCAUUGUUGAAGGACCACCCCUGAGCUAAGAAAAAAAGAGUGACAAGCGGAAAGAAGGGAGCAAGGCUGUAGGCAAACUUCCUCUGCCUUCUAACUGGGCCUCAGGCUGGUCCUGGCUGGUUGAGCUAUGAGGAGCUCCUGGUACUGACAGCCCAGAGUGCCAAGCAUUGAGGAAAGAUGGAUACCUGUGCCUGGGCUCAGGCUACAACUAAUGAAAAACUAUCUCUGUGACUCUGUAGGGGAAUUAUAGCAAUGACACUGCAAGGGACUAUACAAAUAGCAGUCAUAUCCUCCUUACACACAAGGAAAUGAAAGCUUGGGAGGUAAAAGGACUUACCUGGAUCACACUGAUGAAAGCAGCAGAUAGUUUGUGAAUAUAGCACAGAGUGGUCUGGAUUUUAUUGCUCCCGUAAAAGAAAUCUUGUUGGUGGAUGGGAGGGGACCUGCACUCAGCCCCACGAAAGGGAUCCAUGAAUCUGUUUAAGGAAGCAACAGGCAUAAGAGCGUCCACAGCACCCUAAACAGAUCCAAACUGACCUGACCAGUCACUUGCAAAGGCCAAGAUGAGCAAAUGAGCCAAGAAGGGGUUCCCUAUCAUUGUAGCUUUUGGUAAACAAGGACCCUAACAUCAUGCAAGUAUUAAGAGCCAGACAGCUGCAGGAAUUUCUUGACAGUAGGAGCUUCCCCAAAUUCUAGUUGUUUCUGAGCAAGUAUGGAACUAUGUGCUGCUCACAGUGCCCUGAUUCUCAAAGAAACCCUACACAUCCUCAAGGCGUUGGUGGUUCCAAAGGACCUUUGAGGUCCCUGUCUAAUCCCCUCUGUAAAGGCAGACAUUUAAGCCAUCUUCUGUGCUGUUAAUCGAUGUCCCUUCAAAGAGUAUGUCCUUCUAAUAUGGCAUCCAAACCAAGACACUUUUGAGUGUGAAAGAGGGCACUACCACCAAGUUCCCUGGGAUAACAUGUAUAAACUGUCCUGGCCCAUCAGGAUGUGUGGUUACCCUACUUAUAAAAAUCAACAUGAUAAUUUCCUCUUGAAAUGUAAAACAUAGGGUAGCCCACCUGGGUGGCUCAGUCAGUUAAGGGUCUGCCUUCCACACAGGUGAUGA